Long non-coding RNA from Myotis brandtii (Brandt's bat), 554 nucleotides. RefSeq lists it as uncharacterized. The transcript is spliced from 2 exons. NCBI's taxonomy places the organism in Eukaryota, Metazoa, Chordata, Mammalia, Chiroptera, Vespertilionidae. The record is from RefSeq and is a predicted model, not a curated record.
GCUGCAGCAAAAAUGCUGGAGGAGAUGCAAAAGAAGAAUGAGCAGAUGAUGGAGGAGAAAGAAAGGAGUUACCAGGAACAUGUGAAACAAUUGACUGAGAAGAUGGAGCAGGAGAAGGCCGAGUUAAAGGCAGAGCAAGAGAGGGUUCUGUCUCUUAAACUUCAGGAACAGGCCAAGUUACUAAAGGAAGGAUUUCAAAAUGAGAGCAGGCAACUUCAGAGAGAAAUAGAGAAUCUCAAGAAUAACAUGAAAAAUACCGGCGGCGGUGGUUGUAUCUUAAUCUAAAGACCUAAGGGAAAGCUUUUCUGAUCACUCUACCCAAGGCAUAACUCAAGCAGUUUUAGAAUCUGGAAAAAUGUCACAACUUGAGAAAAAGUGACCUUCUUUAAGCUGAUAAAAGAAAUCUACAAAAAGCCCUUCACCUAACAUACUUAAUGAUAAAAAAUGGAAUGCUUUGCCCCUAACACAGGAAUAAAGCAAGGAUGUGAAGUCUCCCCACUCCUGUUAAACAGUAUAAUGAAAGGCUUCCUACAAUAUGGCAAAAAGGAAGGAAG